Aethalodelphis obliquidens (Pacific white-sided dolphin) is the source of this 1900-nucleotide long non-coding RNA. RefSeq lists it as uncharacterized. The transcript has 3 exons. Lineage: Eukaryota; Metazoa; Chordata; Mammalia; Artiodactyla; Delphinidae. The record is from RefSeq and is a predicted model, not a curated record.
UAGUUGUGGCAUGUGGGCUCAGUAGUUUGUGGCACGAGGGGUCUCUCGCUGAGGCGCGAGAGAUCAAUAGUUGUGGCACGCGGGCUUAGUUGCCCCGCGGCAUGUGGGAUCUUAGUUCCCCAACCAGGGAUCAAACCCGUGUCCCCUGCAGUGGCAGGCGGAUUCUUUACCCCUGGACCACCAGGGAAGUCCCUCUUUCAGGUAAUCUUGAUCCUAAUUAGAAUUAAAAUUAACUAACUAAGCCUCCCAGGAUCUUCAUUUUUUCUUUUUACAUUUCUCCUUGUUUAUUAAACCAAUUUUAAGAGGAAAGGAAAUGGGAGGAGUCUUCAAAGAGAAACUUGAUUAAUAGUUUAUCUGGCAGAAAGAGCAACAGCCCAUAGUUACUGACCUGCGCGACAGUGAUGCACGGCUCUUGCCGCCCCAGCUCAUGUGUGAGGCCGUCAGGACGCAGACCCCGGAAAAGAACGUGGAGAAGCCGGGAGGCAAAGGGCAGGCCGCAGCUUGAACCCAGGCCUGCCUGACCCUCCCCGCCAGCCACCUCUGACCUCCAGGGCCCCACAUCCCGUGAACACACAGAUCUUACACGGUCAGUUCCCUCGCUUUUGACAGAUGAACAUGCCUGGGUAACCCAUGGCUUAUCAAGUUAUGGAAUGUUUUCAUUGCCCCAGAAAGUUCCCUCAAGCCCCUUCCUCAAGAAAGUUCUGCCCCUCUGCCCCAAGGCAGCCACUCUUCUGCCUUCUAUCGCCAUGUAUCUGUUCAGUCUGGUCUAGAUGACUGUAGAAACAGAAUCACAGGUACGCACUCCCUGGGCCUGGCUUCUUUCACUCAGCGUGAUGUUCUGUUCAUGACAUUCAUCCAGUCACUCCUUUUUACUGCUGAGUAUGAGUCCACUGCAUGUAAACGCCACAGUUACUGGUGUAUCCUGCUGAUGGGCAUUUGGGCCAUUUCCACUUUUUGCUAUUAGGAGUAAAGCCGCUAUCAUCAUUCCUGCAGAAGACUUUUUUUUGUGAACAUGUGUUGUUUUUCUUGAAUAACACCUAAGAGUGGAGCUCUGGGCUAUAGGUAGAUAUCUGUUUAACGUGGAAAGAGACCACCAGCCUUCCCAUUUUACACGCCCACCAGCGGUGUGUGCUGGUGGCUCACACCCUCACCAGCAUCCACUUAUGGCACCUCUGUCAGCCAUUCUAGCAGGUGUAAAGUGGCAUCAUGGUUUUAUUUGCAUUUCCCUGGUAACUAGUGAUGCUGAGAAUCUUUUAAUGUGCUUAUGGAGGGCAUCUGUAUACCUUCUUUUGUGAAGCAUCUGUCAAGUCUUUUGCCUGUUUUUUCAAGGUGAACGGUUUGUCUUCUGAUGACUAAGUUAGAGGAUGACUCAUUUUGACUGUAAAGCAGGGGAAAAAGGCGGUGCGGCUACAUUCACUGGCAGUGCUGCUCUUGGCCACCUCACACAGUUGUCACCGGUAUCAGAUGACAGCCCAUGUGUCUACACCAAAACGUACAGGCACGGAUCCUGCUAUGGGGCAAUCUCGUCACAUGUGUUUAGCUUAAAAGUAUCAACCCACUACUACUGAAAAAAUUCUUAGUAUCCCUUUGUACAUUUCCUGAAGAUGAUGAUUUCUCUUAUACUGAAAUUAGCUGUAUUUUUAAAAUCUUUUAUAGAAUGUCUUACCGGGGAGUUAAAAUAGACAUCCUAGAGCUCUAACAUUACCCAUGAAAAGAUUUGUAGCGAUCCAAAUAAAGGACUUUCAGCAGUAAAUUCCAGAAACGGCCGAGAAACAAAUUCUAAUUUUAAAAUGCUAAUUAAAAAUAAUUUUAUGUUGGAGUCGUCAACCUGCCCUAACAGGAACUACAGGUGGUAGCUGCUCACGUGAAGAGAGUUACAUGGUGACAAAAACACACUGGG